GUUUAUAAUUUUAAAUUUUAAAUUUUAAAUUUUAAAUUCAAUUUUAAUUUUAAAUUUUGAUAUGUUAAAUAUUUAAAAUUUAAAAUUUUAUAUUUUAUAUUUUUCAAAUUUAAAUUUAAUUUUAUAUUUAAAGUUUGAAAUUUGAAAUUUAAAAUUUAAAAUUUAAAAUUUGAGAUUUUAAAUUUUAAAUUUUAAUUUCAAAAUUUGAAAUUUUAAAGUUAAAAUUUUAAAUUAAAAAUAUAAAUUUUUAAUUUUAAAUUUUAAAUUCAAAUAUAAUGAGAGGAUAAUAUCAUUAUUUUUUAUUUAUAACUACCCACUAUCCUUCUUAUUCUAUUUUACCUAACCAAACGUUAUUUUUCUUAUUAUCAGGAAUAAUCCAAUUUUCAUCCAAACGCAAAAUUGAUCUAAUCCCCGCUUAUAUCUCAAUUUAUACCUAGAUACUAGGUUGCGUUUGGUUCGGAUAUAAGUAAGAACCGCUAGUUCCAUGAAUAGAUACAAAUUCAAGUAUAAACAGGAACUAAAUCAAUUUUGCGAUAAAAAUUGGGUUGUUCCUAGGAAUAAGAUAAAUAGAUACAAGUUCAAGUAUAAACAGGAACUAGAUCAAUUUUGCGAUGAAAAUUGGGUUGUUCCUAGGAAUAAGGUAAAUAGAGUUUGGAUGGUUAAAUUGAAACAAAAGUAAUAAGAGUUAUAAUUUGAAAAUAAAAUUAUAUUACGUAAUUAAUUAACAUCAAAAUAUUACUUAAAAAUAAAUAAUAAAUUAAUUAUUAAUAGUUAAUUAUUAAUAAUAAUAAUUAUUAAUAAAUUUAAAUAAUUAAUUAUAAAUAAUAAAUUAAUAAUAUCAAUUAUCUAAUUAAUAAUAAUAAUAA
RNAcentral lists this long non-coding RNA (866 nucleotides) under Ananas comosus (pineapple). RNAcentral describes it as "long non-coding RNA (ACOM_LNC041254)". Lineage: Eukaryota; Viridiplantae; Streptophyta; Magnoliopsida; Poales; Bromeliaceae. The record is from RNAcentral.